CAGCCGCCGCGGGAAUACAGAGGGUGCGAGCGUUAAUCGGAUUUACUGGGCGUAAAGCGUGCGUAGGCGGCUUCUUAAGUCGGAUGUGAAAUCCCUGAGCUUAACUUAGGAAUUGCAUUCGAUACUCGGAAGCUAGAGUAUGGGAGAGGAUGGUAGAAUUCCAGGUGUAGCGGUGAAAUGCGUAGAGAUCUGGAGGAAUACCGAUGGCGAAGGCAGCCAUCUGGCCUAAUACUGACGCUGAGGUACGAAAGCAUGGGGAGCAAAAAGGAUUAGAUACCCCUGUAGUCCCUGUCUCUUAUAC
RNAcentral lists this ribosomal RNA (301 nucleotides) under uncultured bacterium. RNAcentral's name for it is "partial 16S ribosomal RNA". It matches the Rfam family "Bacterial small subunit ribosomal RNA", at positions 509 to 807 of the family's 1533-position model. The record is from RNAcentral.